GACUGUUGUCAUAUCCUAAACUAACCUUCCUUCCUUCCUUCCNUGAGGCUGGAAAGGUGCGUGCUCGGAUUGCCGGAGGGCCGGUCUCGACCCGUGCGUACGGAAAUGAAGCUGCCGUUUGUGACGAGCGUGGGCAUCAGGAAGCCAGAUGAAUUUUUUUGGGAGUCUGUAAGAGCAUCAAGUAACUCUGUUCAGUCUCCUGUAUCUCGUCACCUAUGAAGAAUGUUAGAUAAUUUCAUCUGACCCAGAGCCCCACAGCCUGCUGGUGAAUUAAAGAUCUACAUGAAUGUUCUCUGGAAAAAAAGGGGGUAAGUGCC
Molecule: long non-coding RNA, 317 nt
Filed under: Zonotrichia albicollis (white-throated sparrow)
Lineage: Eukaryota; Metazoa; Chordata; Aves; Passeriformes; Passerellidae
Description: lncRNA (ENSZALG00000017649.1)
Source: RNAcentral